AUCCCGUCUCACAAAUCAUGUCCAAACGAGCGCUAAAAACACAGGCUUUACCCGGAAGCGACGAAUCAUAGGGACGACAUGCCCAAAACCUACGCUUAAAUAGCGUUCCUGCCUCCAUUUCUCAGAGUUAAAAACUUUGUACCCCUUUUUGAGCGGCUGUGGCGCCUGUGCUCGUCAAGAAUCAGAAGAUCCACUCAGCAAUAAUGCCUGUAACUAAAGCAACAAAGAAGCAAGAAAAAACAGGGUUGAAAACAGAUGACGACCCUCAUUAUGGACUAAAAAUAAACAAGAUCAUUGAUGCUGCCGUGAACAAGUAUACAACCUUAUUUACCUACAAUGCCCUUAGACCUGCUCUCAGGAACCACAUUGAACAAUAUGUUUGUAAGAAGCUCUCUGAUUUGCACACCCCUGAUCACCCCACCUAUGCUCUGAUGAUACGAAGGGCGAUCGAAGGAUUGAAUGAGGAGGGAUCGACUGAGGAAGCAAUAUCAAUGUUUAUUAAAAAAGAUGUUAAGGAUCUGCCAUGGGCUCAUGAAAGUUUUUUGAGGCAUCAUUUGAAAAAGCUUACUGAGACGGGGGAGAUUGUAAAAACUUCUGAAAACUAUUAUAUGCUUCCUGUUGAAAACGGUAAUUUUUAUAUCGAAGGAAAGCAUGGGCAGUUGAAUGGAACUGAAGACCAAAUUGAUACAUUAGAAGAACAAAAGCCUGCAGCAGAGCGAAGUGAACAAGAGCCAAAGGUCAAUGAAAUGGGAGAUAAAAACCAAGUUUUAGAAGAUGUUCAAUUGCUUGAGGAACACGUAGGAAAACACAAUGAAGCAAAACUGCUCAAAUUUGAAUUGAUUAAUGAACAAAUUGAAGGACAGAAAGUUGAAGUGAUUCCAGAGUUAUGCCCUUCUCAAGAGCUGCAAAAUAAACAGCCAGAUGAAAUGAGUUCACAACAAGGUCAUACACAAAGGCAUGAAAUUGAAGUGGUUGUGGGCAUUCUGAACGCAGCAGAAGACAAAACUAAAUCGACUGGAGAACAAAUUCAGGAAAAACGAGCAGAUGGUGUCAUUCAAGAACAGAAAAAUCAAGUAAUGGAAGAUCGAAAUCUGCCGCAUGAUCGCCAAAUUAGAGAUUGCUCCAAACAGAUUCCAUAUCAUGAAGAACAAAGUCUACUAAUUGAAAAGCUGAUCGAGCUAGAAGCACUAGAGAAUCAAGUGACUGGGAAACUAAAUGAACUGCAAACUGAAAUGAGGCACAAUGUUAUUGGCCUUAGCGACCUGCAAUUAUCCCAAGAGUCAGAAAACAAUGAAGCUAUUAUGACAAACCAGACUUUUUUUCAUAUGAGCCAUGGAUUGGGAAAUGAUGUUUCAUUACUUAAAUCAAAGGCUAAAUGUAUAGAAUUGUUGAAGAGAACAAAGAAGAUUGAGGAACAGCUGAUGGACAUUAUUAAUUCAUCAAGUGUGAGGGAGGUGCCAAAGCAUGACACUCUGAAUUCUGUGAUGGAUGAACAAAAGAGGGAAAACAUAAAGAAGUCUGAGCAGAAGCAGCAAGUUGAGUUUUCUAGUCUAAAAAGGCCUCCAGAACAAGAAGUAGAAGCAUUGCAGGAGUUAUCUCAGAAUCAACAGAAGCAAGUAAAGUUUUGUGAUCAGCAUGAGGCGUCAGAAUGCCAGCCAAAAUCAACUGGAACUUCCUCUGCUGUGCCAACAAAUUCAGGACAGCUUGAAGAUGGGACCGCUAGAGCUUGAGACUUCAGAGAAAGGAUCACUUGGUUUAAAGGCAAUGUAAACAGCAAAUUUUGGGCAAAAGGCAUCCACUGAGAACUGUUCUCAUUCCCUCAACAAUGACUCAAGACAGCUUUCGUGGAUAAGAACUGAAGUUUCCUGUAGACCUCCUAAGACUUUGCAGUCACGAGAGGCCUUUGUAAUUGUUGCAAGUGACAAGUUCUCUCGAUGUACCCUUGGACUCAUAAUGACUGGAGCCAUCAGGUCAAAAGUGGCAACACCGGAAGUGUCAAGGCCAAGGUGCUUACCUCUGGAACUUGCCAUAAAUGGUUCCACAAUGGAGGCCGACGGUAGCCUUCAAGAUUAAAGUCAGAUUUUUUCAUGGCCAUUGGAUAAUGAUGAUCAGCAUCAUCUUGAGCAACAGCUGCUAAAGCAUCAACGCUGAGAUAGGCCUCCUAAAUCGAAGGGAGACAUAGAUCUAUACCCACGGCCAAUCCGAAUCAAAAUAAGCACCAAAACGCAGUGUGUUCAGACAGUAGAAGGCGUCCUACACCCAAGACAAAGGCACAUGGAGCACAACUGAUUAGUAACCUUGGAUUGUGAGCAUUGUAAUGAGAUAAAAGUAAUAGCCAGAUAAAAGAGGGAGGGUUCUAAAAUUAAGACCAGUUUUAGCUAUACAACCAUGGAGGCAUCGUCGUUUUUACUGGAGCAGGAGCAAUCAUUACAUCGAGGGCGAGGGGCUUGGGAGACACAGACAUCAUGAUAAAAGCACCGCUGACCUGACCAAAGAGAGCCAACAGCACAACCGAAGCGUCCAAAAGGGGACUGAAGGAACCUGAUGACGGUGACAAUGGUGUCAGCAGAUUCAACUUCCUGUAAAAUCUUGAGUUCUGCUGUUCCAUCACCCUCAAACGGGAACAAAAUGAGAACAGCUUGCAUUCAGACGUUGUAAGGGCAGAUUGGACAACUGGAAUGAGAUAAAAAAAAAAUCAUUUCAUUUAUCAUUACAA
Carya illinoinensis is the source of this 2716-nucleotide RNA transcript. It is a transcript of the gene named putative mediator of RNA polymerase II transcription subunit 26, with no coding region annotated. NCBI's taxonomy places the organism in Eukaryota, Viridiplantae, Streptophyta, Magnoliopsida, Fagales, Juglandaceae. The record is from RefSeq and is a predicted model, not a curated record. The transcript is spliced from 7 exons.